UACCUGCAGCACAAGUGCCUUGCCGGGCUUCACAUGAGUCAUGACAAAUCAUAAGGAUAGAGCUUCACGGAAGAGGAAGAGAGCCGCCAUCGCGGCAUGUCGAGCACGGGCAGCAGCUGCAUUUUCACACCAUUCAAGGAAGGCGAAUUCGCCGGAGAGCAACAGAGAGCAACGCCAAAGCGCCGCCUGUACGCCAUGCUUGGACGACAGUGGUUUUGCCAGAGAGGAUGACGCAACGUCUGAAUACUGGGACAAUUUCGGCAUCGUCGAGGAGUCGCUGCCGGGCCUGAGUCUGGAGACAAGCGUCACAACUCAGCCAGAGGAGCCGAUCAUCACCGGAAGACGAGUUGUGUCGCUGGCCCAUUUCGUGAACGCUGUUCGUAGUCUCGACGACCACAGCUGUCCUAAGCUGACUGGACGUUUUGCACUCGUGAAAGAACAGAGUGGGGCUCUGGUCGGAGCUCACUUUUACCUGCAGUGAAUGUCAGGAAAUCAGAAAGUUGACGACUGACCCCGUCACAGAACCAACGUCCCUCACUGACAAAGCAAACGUAGGAGUCAAUGAUGCUGCUGUUUGGGCAUUCAUGAGUAUCGGAUCGGGCCACUCGCAGUUCGAGGAAGCAAUGGCAGUCAUGGAAAUUCCUGCUAUGAGCAAAGGGGCUUUUCUACGCCGGGAGGAGUCCCUGGGAAAGUGCUGGAAAACCGUCCUUUUUGACCAAAUGAUAAAAGCC
Molecule: long non-coding RNA, 731 nt
Organism: Rhipicephalus microplus (southern cattle tick)
Lineage: Eukaryota; Metazoa; Arthropoda; Arachnida; Ixodida; Ixodidae
Source: RefSeq, a predicted model, not a curated record